Molecule: non-coding RNA, 313 nt
Filed under: Pan troglodytes (chimpanzee)
Lineage: Eukaryota; Metazoa; Chordata; Mammalia; Primates; Hominidae
Also listed under: 1 other name
Source: RNAcentral
GCAGGAUGCCUGGUUUGUGGUGGACCCUGAGUCAGGGGAGACCCAGAUGACACUGACCACAGAGGGUCCCUCCACCCCCCGCCUCUACAUUGGCCGAACACAGUAUACGGUCACCAUGCAUGACCCAAGAGCCCCAGCCCUGCGCUGGAACACCACCUACCGCCGCUACUCAGCGCCCCCCAUGGAUGGCUCACCUGGGAAAUGUGAGUUCCACCUUUCUCUGGUCCCAUCUUGGAGCAAGGUCCCCAACCCAGGGAACCCUGAACAGCAUCCAUGACCAAUUCCCAGCCACAUUUCGACCCACUUGACCUCC